UCCUUCAUAGCUCAGUUGGUAAAGAAUCUGCCUGCAAUGCAGGAGAUGUGGGUUAGAUUCCUGCAUCAGGAA
RNAcentral lists this transfer RNA (72 nucleotides) under Bos taurus (domestic cattle). It matches the Rfam family "tRNA". From Rfam's summary of the family: Transfer RNA (tRNA) molecules are approximately 80 nucleotides in length. Their secondary structure includes four short double-helical elements and three loops (D, anti-codon, and T loops). Further hydrogen bonds mediate the characteristic L-shaped molecular structure. tRNAs have two regions of fundamental functional importance: the anti-codon, which is responsible for specific mRNA codon recognition, and the 3' end, to which the tRNAs corresponding amino acid is attached (by aminoacyl-tRNA synthetases). tRNAs cope with the degeneracy of the genetic code in two manners: having more than one tRNA (with a specific anti-codon) for a particular amino acid; and 'wobble' base-pairing, i.e. permitting non-standard base-pairing at the 3rd anti-codon position. Lineage: Eukaryota; Metazoa; Chordata; Mammalia; Artiodactyla; Bovidae. The record is from Rfam by way of RNAcentral. RNAcentral also lists the same sequence under 3 other names.